AACUAGCAACCUGUGUGCUGACAAAAAUCCCAGAAUGCUGGGAUUAAAGGAAAGAAAAGUGAGGGAGGAGAAAGUAUCCUUGUGACCCAAUGAGACCUAAAUGCAGAACAGCAAACAGAGAAGACAGCAGGGAAAAUUCCACCCUCUGAGGGAUGCCCAGCCCAUCCUGCCCACUGGAGUGCCAGCAGACACAGCACAGUGCCUCACCAGAGGCUGCAAAUUCCCUGGCAAAUUGCAGUUGGGAACCUGUGUAGCCAGGAGCACUUGGAAUAAGAGCUUGGACAAGGAAACUUGA
RNAcentral lists this long non-coding RNA (295 nucleotides) under Zonotrichia albicollis (white-throated sparrow). RNAcentral's name for it is "lncRNA (ENSZALG00000012352.1)". The record is from RNAcentral. Lineage: Eukaryota; Metazoa; Chordata; Aves; Passeriformes; Passerellidae.